AGCAGUCGCCGCGGUAAUACGGAGGGUGCAAGCGUUAAUCGGAAUUACUGGGCGUAAAGCGUGCGUAGGCGGUUCGUUAAGUCUGUUGUGAAAGCCCCGGGCUCAACCUGGGAAUGGCAAUGGAUACUGGCGAGCUAGAGUGUGUCAGAGGAUGGUGGAAUUCCCGGUGUAGCGGUGAAAUGCGUAGAGAUCGGGAGGAACAUCAGUGGCGAAGGCGGCCAUCUGGGACAACACUGACGCUGAGGCACGAAAGCGUGGGGAGCAAACAGGAUUAGAUACCCGGGUAGUCCCUGUCUCUUAUAC
Molecule: ribosomal RNA, 303 nt
Filed under: uncultured bacterium
Lineage: Bacteria
Description: partial 16S ribosomal RNA
Rfam family: Bacterial small subunit ribosomal RNA
Source: RNAcentral